This is a long non-coding RNA of Malaya genurostris, 2303 nucleotides long. RefSeq lists it as uncharacterized. The transcript is spliced from 3 exons. The record is from RefSeq and is a predicted model, not a curated record. Lineage: Eukaryota; Metazoa; Arthropoda; Insecta; Diptera; Culicidae.
UCUUCUACGCGAUUGAAGUGUGUAGCGCUCAGAUGGAUAUCAGAGCAAGCCAAGAUGGUAAUAAUAAUAGGGUCAAAGGAAGGGAAAGAAUUGUGCAGAUGGGUGGAUAGAGAAAUAUAGAUAACGAAGAUGAAAAAUAGUUGGAGUAGAAACGUGUUGAAAGAAUAGUUGAAAAGUAUGUGGCCGAUUACAGUAUAUGUAGUGGUGAAAAGGAUACUAGUGAAAAUGUACGCGAAUUAAGAAAGAAAAAGAUAUGUGAUGAAAAAAAAAAUUUCUAAAGGAAAUAUUUUUUUUAGUUUUUUUAGUUGGGGGUAAUGUAACGAUGUUACAAUAUAGUUGGAUUAAAAAUAAAAUAAAGAGUUUGUGUGCGCGCCUAAAACAGACGAGAGGGCUGUUGCGUUCGAGUCGAAAAGCAAUAUAGUGAUAACGUCCUUCUAAGCGACACUAGCGACACUAGUGGUCGUAAAAGAAACCUUAAUGUAAUCGCGAUACGAUACUGAGACCAUAGAACUCAACGAGGUGGGGAAUGACCAAUUCAUUGGUGUAGUUGGGUAAAUAAAAAGGGAACUCGCGGCGCGAGUAUAUAGAAGCUGAGGAAAUACAGUCAGCCAGAGGGCAAUGAUCUUUUUUCUCGAUUCGAACGGCAUAGUGAUCAGUCGCAACUUGUGGAACAGUUUUGUUCAAGUGAAGAUAAAGCAUAAAGAUAAAGUGAACAUUGUUAGAAAGCCGAUCGAUUACGCAUUAAAACGAGAUAUAAGGUGGAAGUUAUUUUAAAGGCCCAGAAAGGGAAAACUAUGCAUGACGGUUAGAUUUGCACGAAAUGAAGCAUAUUAAUUGAGAUACCACCGAACAAGCAUAGAAUUAAUCCUAAGUUGCUCGAGGUACAGGUAAAUAAUUUUGAAAGCUAUCAAUAGAACCUAUAUGUGAAUUAACGCUAUUGUCUGCUAUUUGCGCAUUUUCUUGAAGGACCAGCAUCCUUCAAGUGAAGGUGUGACUGCCAGGUGUAGGGGUUUGCGACUAGUCACGCUUGCCCUCAGACGACCCAGAAGCUUGUCGGCUUGUAGCCUAGCUCGUCGGCAGGCCCGUGAUCGUCAUUCGCAUCUGUGGGCCAACCGGAGGUUCUCCACGCCUCCUAGUAACGAUUUCCGGUCUUCCAUUGCCAAAAAUCGUUAUAUCCGGCCUCGUAGCAACCAACGCAAAAAUUCGUGUUACGGACGAAUAUCGAUUCAGCAUAAGAUAUAUGCGAGUAGUCGAGACACCUCUGAGGAAGUUAGUCGAGACACGGAUAGCGCUCAUCGGCCGCCGCCGCUACCAGAAUUCCAGCCGCCGUUGGAUCGUUAUGUUUUUCGACAAGGUCAGAACUAGUUAAUAAGAUUGUAUCGAUUCGUGUAUUAGUGGUAGUGACUUCACCCUGCAUGGUGGAGAUAGUAGUAAACAAGCGCUUGUAGGUUAAAUAUAGAAAUGUCGAUAAGGAAGUGAGGAGGAAAUAUACAUAUGAGCCAAGAGUCACCGAGAAUAAAUAUCACGUGUCGUGAGAAGAAACGGAUUGAUCAUUGCCUUCGUUUUGCAAUCGAUAUCGUGAAGAACAGUUCCCGUUGGGCAUAGCCACCCGUUGAAAAAAAAAACUGAGUAUCGUGGAACGAUUGAGCGUUUUUAGUUGUCGGUUAAAAUUUUACAACCCGCCUUGAGAAGUCUCGCUGGGCACGUGACGAAUGUCGCUGGUUUGCAUGCGGGUGUGAUCCGUUCCGCUCGCUUGGCGCGUAAGCAAACUCAGUCAGGGAAGAAACUAAAUCCGCCCGUGACCCGUUACAAAAUUUUGUAAAUGUUGUUGGGUGGAACAUCCUAUCACUAUUAUAUCGUCCAUGUAAACGAAUGCGUGUUCUGGUGUAAGUCCAGCCAUGGCAAUCGUCAUCAUUCUUUGGAAACUGUUUGGGCUAAUAUUUAGUCCGAAAGGUAAACGUGUGAAUUGGUAGUGUCCACUUUGUGUUGAAAAUGCUGUAAAUUUUCUUGAGUUAUUUUCUAAAGGUAUUUGGUGAAAUCUAGUGUCUAAAAGUAUUUUGCUCUACCAAGUUGAUCCAAAAUUGUAUCAAUUCUUGGUAAAGGAAAUUUGUCUGCUUGUAUUUUUAUGAUUAGUUGUCUAAAAUCUACCACCAGUCUCCAUUUUCUUUUUGCGUCGUUUGAUUUUUUGGUACUAGGAGAAUGGGGCUAUUGUAGGGUGAUAUAGAAGGUUCUAUAAUUUUGUCGUUCAGCAUUUUAUUGACUUGUGUUUCUAUUUCGUCGUGUUGUGAAUGGAUCGUUUUGUA